Molecule: long non-coding RNA, 467 nt
Filed under: Bos taurus (domestic cattle)
Lineage: Eukaryota; Metazoa; Chordata; Mammalia; Artiodactyla; Bovidae
Description: long non-coding RNA NONBTAT011770
Source: RNAcentral
GCCUCUUCAGUCUGCACCACUAAUUCUGAGUGUGAGAAAGUGUAUAGAAAAUGGGUUUAGCAAAAUGUCUGUAAAGGAAAAAUAGUACUUCAUUUUGUCCUAUUUGUAGUGAUUUCUCAAACCCUAUUAGAUUAAACAAUUUAGUUAAUAGACAUUUUUGCAUCCACAUUCCAACAUUAACACUACUGAAGUCCUGGUCUGGUGUCAGAUUUAAUAAAAUCAAGCUACCCCAUGUUUCAUGAUCACCUCCAAUAUAAUAAUUCCUAACAUUUUCAGCGGUUUAUCUAAAAUAUGGGCAAAAAUGUGCAUUUUUAUUUUUAUUUUGCAGAUGGUUUUCUAUAAAGUACAUUUUUACUAAGUCUGUGUGUGAAUGAUUUAAAAAACUACAGAAUAAGGUACAAAUGUGGUGUAUUUAAUAAACUGUCAACCAAAGCUGUAUUUGUCUGUUGAAAGAUUUUAUUUCAUAU